AGAGUUUGAUCCUGGCUCAGAGCGAACGCUGGCGGCAGGCUUAACACAUGCAAGUCGAGCGGGCGUAGCAAUACGUCAGCGGCAGACGGGUGAGUAACGCGUGGGAACGUACCUUUUGGUUCGGAACAACACAGGGAAACUUGUGCUAAUGCCGGAUAAGCCCUUACGGGGAAAGAUUUAUCGCCGAAAGAUCGGCCCGCGUCUGAUUAGCUAGUUGGUGAGGUAACGGCUCACCAAGGCGACGAUCAGUAGCUGGUCUGAGAGGAUGAUCAGCCACACUGGGACUGAGACACGGCCCAGACUCCUACGGGAGGCAGCAGUGGGGAAUAUUGGACAAUGGGGGCAACCCUGAUCCAGCAAUGCCGCGUGUGUGAAGAAGGCCUUCGGGUUGUAAAGCACUUUAGGUUGGGAGGAAGUUGAGUUGUUUAAGAGAUGAUUCAA
This 441-nucleotide ribosomal RNA is filed under the name uncultured bacterium. RNAcentral's name for it is "bacterial SSU rRNA". It matches the Rfam family "Bacterial small subunit ribosomal RNA", at positions 8 to 477 of the family's 1533-position model. The record is from RNAcentral.